GCCGGAGAACGCUUCGUGUCUAGCUAUUAUACGCAUAUACAAGAGAUAUAUAAUCAUGCCAAAACUGAAGAAAACAUCAAAUACUAUGAAAGCACACCGUCAUGCCAUUUAUAUAGCUGAAAAGAGACAGAACUACAAGAAAGUUGAAUAUUUUGUAGGCAACACUGAUAUCACUGAUGAUGUCAUCAUGGCAGCCAUGAACCUUAUGCAUCUUUAUGCAAAUCGCCUCAAAUACGAAGGACAUAUCGGUUACUAUUCUCCAGCAGAGUUGCACUUUCUAUCUCAAAGUGAAGAUUCAAACAAACGUCCACCACCAAUACCAGCAGACAAGGACUCAAUAUUAAUCCAUCCUCUAAAAAACCAUUGGAGUACAUCAUACUAUCAUUCUACGUCUAAAAGAAUUUAGAUCUACUAUGUCCUCGGAACAUUUGCAACAAACAUUCCUCCAGUUAUGCCUUGUCUACAACCAGAUAAACAAUGAUAAUGGAAUAUGUUGAUGUGACGCAACAAUCAAGUGACCCUAUUUGUGGCAUCAUGGCCAUAGCCUUUGCAUUCUCAUGUCUACUUGGAUUGAACCCGAAAAAAAUAACUUAUGAUAUUGGAAAUACUAACAGUCGUUCAUUCACGGGAUGCCACCUCCAAGCACUAAUCACCACUGUUUCCAUAAACAUGAAGAUGUCCACCCCCUCGGAUUUAUACUGAAAUCUUCACUGGCUGAAAUCAGCAUCACGGUAUAACAAUUCAUCACUAGUUAGUUCAGGUAUAUACUUGUACUCUCAAGAGAGUCUUGCUACUUAUACAGCCAUACAUAUGCAAUGGAGACUACAGCCAUCUUCAUCAUGCACCAUUUACUUACAGUAAGGUACUCACUGUUACACUUCAGUUCAGUUCAUUCUCAAUGUUUUCAGACUCGAUGAAUAAUUGAGAAAUGACACACAUUCUAAUAUACUAGUACACAAAAUGCAUCAAUGAUUAAAUAUAGAUGCUUGUAGUCUUCAUCACAUAUCUAUGCCUGUAUAACUUCAGUUAUGCUAACUCCAUGAAGGUACUGUAAUUUCUAAAUAAAAACUUCUCAUAUACAACUUUGAAAUUA
This is a long non-coding RNA of Lineus longissimus, 1093 nucleotides long. RefSeq lists it as uncharacterized. The transcript is spliced from 3 exons. The record is from RefSeq and is a predicted model, not a curated record. NCBI's taxonomy places the organism in Eukaryota, Metazoa, Nemertea, Pilidiophora, Heteronemertea, Lineidae.